Molecule: ribosomal RNA, 251 nt
Filed under: uncultured prokaryote
Description: partial 16S rRNA
Rfam family: Bacterial small subunit ribosomal RNA
Source: RNAcentral
ACGUAGGGGGCAAGCGUUGCUCGGAAUUAAUGGGCGUAAAGGGUGUGUAGGUGGCUGAUUAAGUUAAGGAUGAAAUCCCGAGGCUCAACUUCGGAACUGUCCUUGAAACUGGCAAGCUUGAGGAUGGUAAAGGAGAGCGGAAUUCCCGGUGUAGAGGUGAAAUGCGUAGAUAUCAGGAGGAACACCGGAGGCGUAGGCGACUCUCUGGGCUAAUACUGACGCUGAGACGCGAAAGCUAGGGGAGCAAACGG